Molecule: non-coding RNA, 477 nt
Organism: Ciona intestinalis (vase tunicate)
Lineage: Eukaryota; Metazoa; Chordata; Ascidiacea; Phlebobranchia; Cionidae
Source: RefSeq, a predicted model, not a curated record
GGGUUNAAGCUUCAACAUGCAGUCCCAUUUAUCAGUAGGUGAGGAUUCCUUGGUUCCGUUAGAUGACCCAGCCUCUUUUCGAAGUUUAGCAAAGGAUUUCCAAGCGUCCUGAACAUUUUGAACGGAUAUUUCUACUUCUCCUAAAAUGCGCUUCACCAGCGCGAACAGAACGUCCAAACAGUGGACUUUGUCCCCGUAUAAUACAGGUAGGUCCAAGGCCCCGAUUUUGACCUAAAAUAGUUUUUGAAUGAAAAACUUAAAAAUGUCAUAUAAUGAAUUAAUGAUUGCAACUCUUUUAUUCGUGCGUGGCGGGGAAACAUUAGUCGCUUUAAAACAGAUGUUCUCUUUCACACACCUCGUGCAUGAAAUUUAUUAGUUUUUUUAUAUACUGAAAUAACUGAAUGAGAGUUGCGGCUUUGUUUUGUGUUUUUUGUCUUUUUAUACUAUAUGUUUAAUAAAUCACACCUACAGACCUGA